RNAcentral lists this ribosomal RNA (470 nucleotides) under uncultured organism. Its description in RNAcentral is "partial 16S ribosomal RNA". It matches the Rfam family "Bacterial small subunit ribosomal RNA", at positions 332 to 798 of the family's 1533-position model. The record is from RNAcentral.
UACACUCCUGCGGGAGGCAGCAGUGAGGAAUAUUGGCCAAUGGGUGGAAGCCUGAUCCAGCCAUCCCGCGUGCAGGAAGACGGCCCUAUGGGUUGUAAACUGCUUUUAUCUGGGGAUAAACCUACUUACGUGUAAGUAGCUGAAGGUACCAGAAGAAUAAGCACCGGCUAACUCCGUGCCAGCAGCCGCGGUAAUACGGAGGGUGCAAGCGUUAUCCGGAUUUAUUGGGUUUAAAGGGUCCGUAGGCGGACUGAUAAGUCAGUGGUGAAAUCCGACAGCUUAACUGUCGAACUGCCAUUGAUACUGUUAGUCUUGAGUAAGGUUGAAGUGGCUGGAAUAAGUAGUGUAGCGGUGAAAUGCAUAGAUAUUACUUAGAACACCAAUUGCGAAGGCAGGUCACUAAGUCUUAACUGACGCUGAUGGACGAAAGCGUGGGGAGCGAACAGGAUUAGAAACCCCAGUAGUCCCAU